RNAcentral lists this ribosomal RNA (253 nucleotides) under uncultured bacterium. Its description in RNAcentral is "partial 16S ribosomal RNA". It matches the Rfam family "Bacterial small subunit ribosomal RNA", at positions 524 to 776 of the family's 1533-position model. The record is from RNAcentral.
UACGUAGGGGGCAAGCGUUGUCCGGAUUUAUUGGGCGUAAAGAGCUCGUAGGCGGCUUGUUGCGUCGACUGUGAAAACCCGCGGCUUAACCGCGGGCUUGCAGUUGAUACGGGCAGGCUAGAGUUCGGUAGGGGAGACUGGAAUUCCUGGUGUAGCGGUGAAAUGCGCAGAUAUCAGGAGGAACACCGGUGGCGAAGGCGGGUCUCUGGGCAAUAACUGACGCUGAGGAGCGAAAGCGUGGGGAGCGAACAGG